This 601-nucleotide ribosomal RNA is filed under the name uncultured archaeon. RNAcentral describes it as "bacterial SSU rRNA". It matches the Rfam family "Archaeal small subunit ribosomal RNA", at positions 319 to 923 of the family's 1478-position model. The record is from RNAcentral.
UCCCUAUGGGGUGCAGCAGGCGCGAAACCUCUGCAAUAGGCGAAAGCCUGACAGGGUUACUCUGAGUGAUCUCCGUUAAGGAGAUCUUUUGGCACCUCUAAAAAUGGUGCAGAAUAAGGGGUGGGCAAGUCUGGUGUCAGCCGCCGCGGUAAUACCAGCACCCCGAGUGGUCGGGACGUUUAUUGGGCCUAAAGCAUCCGUAGCCGGUUCUACAAGUCUUCCGUUAAAUCCAGCUGCUUAACAGAUGGGCUGCGGAAGAUACUAUGGAGCUAGGAGGCGGGAGAGGCAAGCGGUACUCGAUGGGUAGGGGUAAAAUCCGUUGAUCCAUUGAAGACCACCAGUGGCGAAGGCGGCUUGCCAGAACGCGCUCGACGGUGAGGGAUGAAAGCUGGGGGAGCAAACCGGAUUAGAUACCCGGGUAGUCCCAGCUGUAAACGAUGCAGACUCGGUGAUGGGCCGGCUUUAUGCCGGCUCAGUGCCGCAGGGAAGCCGUUAAGUCUGCCGCCUGGGGAGUACGGUCGCAAGACUGAAACUUAAAGGAAUUGGCGGGGGAGCACCACAAGGGGUGAAGCCUGCGGUUCAAUUGGAUUCAACGCCGGAA